Long non-coding RNA from Cygnus olor (mute swan), 366 nucleotides. RefSeq lists it as uncharacterized. The transcript has 3 exons. Lineage: Eukaryota; Metazoa; Chordata; Aves; Anseriformes; Anatidae. The record is from RefSeq and is a predicted model, not a curated record.
AGCAUUAGAAGAGUUAUACAUAACCUGGGACGGCACAUAGCAGAAGGCAGGGGAUGAGAGGCACAAACUCAAAAAGGCACAAACGUCAGUGGGACAGAAAUCACUCGGUGCAGCAACAGGCUUAGACAACCAACAUCCUCAAAGGACAGUGAGAGGAGCCUGCAGCCAGCCAGAGCACAGGGCAGUCUCUCCAGGGCUCAGUCACACAGCAAAGAGACAGCAAACAGAGUCUAGUAAACCGGUGCCUCUGGGAGUGAGCGCGGCCAGGCAUUGCCUGUUUUGGGUAGCUGCUGUCACUGGCACGUCUGUUCUGGACAGCAGUAUUUCCAAACAAAAAAACCACAGAAACGUGCACAGGAAAUAAGG